GCCUUCGUAGUUAAGUGGUAUAACUCCGUUCUUGUAAAACGGCGUGGGAAGUUCGAUUCUUUCCGAGGGCA
Physocladia obscura is the source of this 71-nucleotide non-coding RNA. The record is from the annotation of a GenBank genome assembly. NCBI's taxonomy places the organism in Eukaryota, Fungi, Chytridiomycota, Chytridiomycetes, Chytridiales, Chytriomycetaceae.